UUGUGAAGUAUUACUGUUGCAAGAUGCAAUGAGAUAAUGCAGGUAAAGCGAUCAGCAUAGUGCCAGCACAUAAUAAUGUGAACUACUUUUAUUAUUAUUACUAAUACUUUGUGGGGUAGUCCCCAGCAAACUGCACAAUUCACAGCCUUCCUCCAGCCUAUGAAUCGGGAUAUCUCUUCCUAGCUGGCAGAAUCAUCCUGAUGCUUGGAGAUUUCCACUUAAGAGGAACACGCAUUACCAGCUUCAUCGUCAGGACUCAGGUGGGCAAGCUGACGGUGGUCAGGCUGCAGCAGACACUUUUAGUUGCAUGUAAAUUAUCUAGGUGCCCUUUCCUAAUUAUAGCAGAAACUCACUUUCUUCUCUUUUAAAAAUUCUUCCCUGUAUGGGAAUUUUUCUUUCAUGCUAUAUUCUCCUCUUGGUGUCUUGUCUAAUUUUCCUUUUUUCUCCCCUCCCAUCUAUUGCUCAACUGAGGUGUGAAAGAAGUUGAAAUCCACCUGUAAACCUGGGGGUGCCACAUCCCUUCAUUUAUUCACUCACUGUUUCACUCAACAAACAUUCACUGAGGAUUACUCUGUAAAUGGCCACGUACUGGGUGCUGAGGACAAAACAGGUGAAGGCCACUGCCAUUCAUAUGGCUACACUGUUCUGUCCCCUUUCGGUCCCUGCCCUUGAAAGUUCCCAAUUCUUGCUGACCUCCUGGAAAAGCCUAGUGAAAUAACACCAAAUAACGGUGAGAUAAUUUCCCUUCAAGACUUUCACUAGGUCAGUUGUUCUAACCUUUUUAGGAGGCAAAAGGAAUAGAGAGAGGGAGGCAGCCAGCCAGGAUUAUUUGCUGCAUUUUAGAUAGGAAAGCUAAGUUCCAGAGAGGGGAGGGAAGGCAAGAGAGGGAAAGGAACUCAACUAUUUAAUAGAGUCAGGCCUUGUGCCUUUUUAUUCUCAUACAUGCCUUCUGAGGUGGGUAUUUUUAUCAUCAUUUUACAUGGGCAAAAACUGACACUUAGGUUAAGGAGCUCAUCCAAGUCACCCAAUCUAUAGGUGGCAGAGCUGGGCUUAAAACACAGGUGUGAUCUUGGAACUAAGCUUUCAACCUGCUGACUCAGCAACUGCACUGCAGGUCAGUAGUGGAUUUGGGAACCUCCUGCUUCCCAAUCCUCUGCCUGGUCUUCUAGGCCAACAGUUUUACAACUUGGACACGCAUCAGAAUCACCUGGAGGGCCUGUGAAAACACAUAACGCUGAGCCGUACCCCCAGUUUCUGAUUCAGUAGGUCUAGGGUGGGGCUGAGAAUUUGCAUUUUUUAACUAGUUCCCAGGUGAUGAUGAUGAUGAUGGUCCACGGACCACGGUUUGAGAACACUGUUCUAGGUGUUCUCUUUCAAAAUGACUUCCUCUCUUCACCUUAACGAUUCCAAAGGUAACACAGGUUUGUAAAAUACAACAAAUAUAUAAAAUGUAGAACCUACAGAAAAAUAGGUAGAAUGGAAUUCAUCCACAUUCUUCUGCUCAGAAAUAACCACUCUUAACAGUUUGGCAUAUCCCCUCUGUCUUCUUUUCAGAGGCUAAGCACAGAGGAAGCGGGUGGCCUAUGGCUGCUCCGCUAAGACCCGGUUAAGAUCCCAGUGCUUCCGUGAGACCUAGGGCAAGCCUGAACCAAGUCUGGGUCCCCUCUUCAGCAAAACUGCAUUUACACUCCCAUCCCACAUUAGUUUGUUGGGAGGGUUUAAAGAAGAGCGUGUAUUUAUCAAGCACUCGACACAAUGUCAGAUGCGGAGUCAGCGCUCCAUAAAUGUUGGCUGUCAUUUUUGUUCUAACGUAAGAGAAAGCUGGAUGAUCCCAUUUGGGUUUCAGCCCCGUUUUCCCUCUUCACUCCUCCGGUGGUUCAGUGGGAGCUCUGCCGACCGACCGCCUGGCUGCGGCCACUCACUGCUGGGACUGCGCGGCCUGCCCGCUCCCAGCAGCUGGCGGACCCACGGGACCCCCGCGCGGCCCGGGCCGCCGCCGUUAGGGUUGGCUCAAGCCUCUCGGCCCAGUCCGCCAGUUUUAUAGCCCGAACUCAAAGAGGGCUUUUAACUUUUCGUUCAGCAGCAGCGUAGCUCCGACUUUUAAUAACACACCUCGUGCACGACAAAAAUUUGCUCCUGGCAAUCAUGGUUUCGACCACAAAACCACAGCAGGGAGGCGUUCCCGAUUAACUCUUUCAGUGCUCCAGGCAGUCUGGAGCCGGCGCUCCUGGAGAUCAGAUAGAACGGAGGCGGCGGCCGCGGUCAGGACUGCGACGGUUCUAGUCCCCUUCCCCCAACCGAGUCGCGUCUCUGCGAGGCUGGGGGGAGACUCCAGGCGGCAGCGGUGGGGCCCAGAGAGCACGGAGCGAGGCCGCAGGGGACGCUCCUGCCUCGGUGCCUUAGACCUACUGUGUGCCAAGCCCCUUUGCUCCAGAGGGGAACAAGAGGUCACCGGCGAGGUCGCCUGCGGCUGCAGCUCGCCGGGGGCCCCGACGCACCUUCAGGAAAACCCGACGCCGGGCAGCUCGCGGGCGCCAGCUGUUUUCCUGCGAGACCCAGGCGGUCCGCGGCGACUUCCGGCGCCCUCGGCCGCAGCCCAGGAUCCCUUGCGCCCUGCGGUAGCCCGGGGCUGCCCAGGGCUGCGGGCUCCAGGCACCCAGAGCGCUGUGACCACAUGAAAGGCCCGGCGCUCAGCACCCGCCAGCCACCUCCAGCUGGUUUCUAACUACACCGCCGGGGCCUCCAUGCUUCUCAGGGACCAGCCUUCGAAGUGCCGCCUUACACCCGGGGCCUGGCCACCGGGCGGGCGCAGAUGGAGCUCUGGUCCACAUUUGGGAGCUCACAGUUGUUCCUGCCAGAUGUGGAAGCUGAGACUUAAAGAAGCUAUGAAACUUGAUCAGGUCAUGCAGCGCCAGAGGACCCAAGCUGGGAUCUCAACCCAGACUGUUCGGCUCCAAAGCUGAACUGCUACAUUAUGUUGCUUCAGCAAACAGUCAUUCAGAACCUCAGCUACCGCCACGACUUUGUGUGCAAACCUGUCUGAAGCCUGUUGGUGAAGCUCUCUGCCCAGCUAUGAAGAGGCACAGAUCUGCCUGCCUUCCUUGGAAGGCUCCGACUCUUUUUCUGGAAGGCCUACCUUCUCAUCCUUUGGCAGUUGGGGAACUGAAGCACAGUGAGGGAGAUGAGCGUGCCAUACAAUGAGAGGACAGAGCUCAGUGCUCUUCACUCAUCUGCCUGUGGGAAAGAGGCCAGUUCUAGGGGUGGGGAUCGCGAAGGAGCACCCUACCUCCCUGUCCUUUUCACAUCCCAUGGCCAAUAGCCAUGUACUUUUUCCUCCUCUUUCUCUUGCCCAGCAAAUACAGGCUCCAGCUGCAGCCACUUUGAAGAUAAAGUUUUCUCCAUAGAAAUUCUGCAGUACAGAUGUCCUUCGACGGUCCCAGUUCAGUCCUGCACCAGUUGCUUUUCCCACUGGGAAAUUUCUUUCCUCUUCCUACUUGCAUGCAACUGCGAGGCAAGGCUCAAGCCCCGCUUCCUUCUCCUUUUCCUGUGCCUCCCUGUGGAAGGAGCUCCCUCUUCUUCACAGCUCCAGGCUCUUCCCUACUCUGGCCCAACCUUAUGGGCAUUUUGCUCCAUAACUCUCCUCGAUCUGAACCGCUUCUGAUUUCUCUCAAGUCAUGUCGGGGAAUCUCACAAAUGCAUUCUGAGAAAUACAAGAAUGCCUGAGAUGUUCCAGGCAGAAAAGAUUCCAGGAUCAAAACAUUUGGGAAAAGCUUCAUACCUCUUCUUAGAAAUGAACAAGGCAUAGUCAUCAAGCCUCUGAAAAGUCCUGCAGUCAGGAAACCUGCUUUGUUUGUUUUUUAACCCAGUAUUUCCCAAACUAAGAUGGCCAUGAUUUCAUCUCCUCCAUCCCCACUGACUCCUAUAACAACCUGUAGAACCAGUGAUCCACUGUGGAACACACUUUGGGAAACACUGUCCCCAGCCCUCCAGGAAGGCAUAGAGUUGACCUUGCCUUCAUUUAUUUAAACCCUUCCUGUUUCUCUGGGCUAUUUACUUAUUAUCUCACAUAAAAAAUAAUCUAAGGUGAUGUCUGCCCAAUUGGGUUUUUAGGAAAGACAUACCCGAUGGGAAUGAAGAUUUUCUUAGCAGGAUUUGAUGAGCCCAUUACUAGAAAAAAAAUCAAGGAUUUCCCAGACUUUUGGGGUGAGGAGAGAAUUUGAUACAACCAGCAGAGGCUGGGCACAGCGACCCACGCCUAGCACUUUGAUAGGCCAAGGAGGGAGGAUUGCUUGAACCCAGGAAUCCAAGACCAGCCUGGGCGACAUAGUAAGAUCCCAUCUCAAUUUUUUAAAAAAGGAUUUAUCAAACUUGUUUCCCAGUCAACGGAUAAAGCCGGAGAUGUAAUGGCCAGAAACCCAAAAUCUAGAGUUCAGUACCAGAUAAAUACUUUUUGGGUGAAUAAAUGAAUGAUCACAAAGUUGGCAGACAUUGUGAAUGAAUGGAUGAAUUAAUAAACAAUCAAAUAACUGGUCUCCAGGCCUCCAGACUUCCUGAACUUCAUUGUAUCUACCUGCUGUGGCCGCAUAUAUGUCUUCUCAAAACCCAGAUCUCAUCAGUCCACUUUUCUGUUCCCUGGCUGGCUCCCUGUUGCCUUCAGGAUAAAGUCUACACGCCUUUGUCCUGGCAUUUAAAACUCUGCAAAACAAAGCUCCAACCUAGCUUUCCAUCCUUCUUUCUCUUCCCCAUUGGGUACCCCUUACUCUAGUCACACCAGUCCCCAAUUCACUUUAUCUGUCUCCUUUUCUUUCUCGAGCUAUUCCCUAUACCUCACCUUUUCUACCCUGCCUGCAUGGUUGCUUAUUCAAUCCUAGCAGUGCUUUCAGGCUCAGCUCAAACUUUAUCACCCAUGUUAAAUGAAAGAAGCCAGACACAAGAAGGGGGACAUUCUGAAUGAUUCCAUUUAUAUGAAGGUUAAGAACAGGCAAAACUAUUGUGGGGAAAAAACAGAACUGUGGUUGCCUUUGGGGAGUGAGGAUUGAUUAGAAGGGGUUUUGGGGGUAUGAAAAUGUUCUUGAUCUUCAUUCCAGUGGUAGUUUCGUGGGUGAAUACAUUUGCCAAAAUUCAUUGAAUUGUACACUAAAGAUCUGCAUUUCUCUGUAUUGUUAAUUUCAUCUAAAAAUAAAAAUCUUACCACCCAGAUCUCCCUGGC
Pongo pygmaeus (Bornean orangutan) is the source of this 5209-nucleotide long non-coding RNA. RefSeq lists it as uncharacterized. Lineage: Eukaryota; Metazoa; Chordata; Mammalia; Primates; Hominidae. The transcript is spliced from 3 exons. The record is from RefSeq and is a predicted model, not a curated record.